Molecule: small nuclear RNA, 98 nt
Organism: Erinaceus europaeus (western European hedgehog)
Lineage: Eukaryota; Metazoa; Chordata; Mammalia; Eulipotyphla; Erinaceidae
Source: Ensembl
GCGCUUAUGCAGCACAUAUAAUUGAAACCAUACAGAGAAGAUUAGCAUGGCACCUGCCCAAGAAUGACACGCAAGUUCGUUAAGUAUUCCAUGUAAGA